AUCGAUACCAUUCUAUUAAAUGUGUAUAAAUAAGUUAUAAAAUUAAAAUAACAAGUUUUUCUUCGACCUCACGUUCACUGCGUAAUAAACUAUGAUAUGACACGAAACUAAGAUGGUUACUAUUCAAAUCUCACUUGAUAUGGGAUGAGUGAUAUUUGGUUUAUAGAUACCAGAUUAUGUAACGCGCGCAGGAAUAUUAGGAAUCAUCAUAUUUAAAUCAGAAUAUCAAAAUACAUUGGAUUAUCACACAAAACAGAAACUUAUAUAAAAGUGUAACUAUCGUCAAACCGUUCCAGUGAAAUAAAUUCAGAUUGCUAAUAUAGAGAUUAUCUACGAAGUUUUACUAUAAUUAGACUUUUUAAUAAUUUAAACAUAACAUCAAGUAUAAUUAACGAU
Long non-coding RNA from Daktulosphaira vitifoliae (grape phylloxera), 396 nucleotides. RefSeq lists it as uncharacterized. NCBI's taxonomy places the organism in Eukaryota, Metazoa, Arthropoda, Insecta, Hemiptera, Phylloxeridae. The transcript is spliced from 3 exons. The record is from RefSeq and is a predicted model, not a curated record.